This is a long non-coding RNA of Oxyura jamaicensis (ruddy duck), 1135 nucleotides long. RefSeq lists it as uncharacterized. The transcript is spliced from 2 exons. NCBI's taxonomy places the organism in Eukaryota, Metazoa, Chordata, Aves, Anseriformes, Anatidae. The record is from RefSeq and is a predicted model, not a curated record.
GCACUUGUUCACACUUCACCAAGUUAUACACCUGUGUAAAUUAAAUGGUGGUCUCUUUUUCACAUCUCACCAAGAAAGAGACCCACCAGCAUACAAAUCUGCUAAAGAUGCCUGCUUCGAAGACUUCAUCUUCUUGACAAAAGUGCUAAAGUAUUUUACUAGAAAGAAUCAUAACAAAACCUGAAAGUAAAUGCAGGAUUGUCAGGCAGAUGGAAGAAUUGUGCAGAAGAAAAGGCAGCCAGACAUGGAUCAUUGUUUUGCAAGUGCCUGGUGCAGCACAUGCAGUGACAAACCCAUGCCUCAAGCAGCUGGGCAGUAAAGGAGGCCAAGUAAAUCCUUUUCAGAUGCAGCAGCGAGUUCUGCUUUUUGAAUCAGCCUCCCUAGACAUGUACCACUGUCCUCAGGCUGAAGAAAGAGAAAACCUCUAUAUAACAGUGCAAGGUGUUUUGUUUGUUUUUAUUUUUGUGUCCUUGCACUUGUGUGUUUGAUUUUUAAUGGGUUUUAGUCUACUGAGUUUGGGAGCCAUUAGCAACGUACAUGUAUGAGCAGGACCAAAAGAUGAGCUAAUUUAGCUUGCUUCUUAAUGGUGGUGUGAUUAUAGCACAGACAUUCCUUGAAAAUGUCAUCUAUUUUAAAUUAAAAAAAAAAAAAAUAAUAAAAAUCCCAGAAAAUUGGCAUUCCAGCCAACUGCAUCCUGUUGGGAAUUUUGGCUCCUGUUGAGGCAAAGAGCCAUAACUAUAGUUUUGUCUUCUAAGCUUCAGAGGCAAUAAACAUCUAUUUGAUUAGUGAUUGUACUACUUCUUUGUAUUAUUCUUAUUCUUCUUUGUACAAGAAUCUUCUGGGAAGUGCAGAGCAUUCAAUCCCUUGAGGUCAGCAUCUAUCAGCAGGUACUCAGCAAGCUACCGUAAUCACCUAUGCUACUUAUUAUACUUGUUAAUGGGAUUUGACACCUUUGCCUUCUGGCUUCAGCUGCUGCCUACACUUAUUCUCUGAAAACACUGAUUAAAUUACUCACCUAGUAAUUUUCAGGAUCAGGCCAACAUUUUUAAAAACACACAAUGCAAUUUGAUCUUGUUGUAUUAUCUAAACCCAUUUGAAACUCUGGUUCAGCAAAAUCAUUUAAACCGUCGCUGAA